UUUUCCCGCUACUUUCAAGCUCGAGAAGCUUCUUCCAGUAAAUCACAUCUAAUCCUUCUUCAUCUACGAUAACUGCCUUUAGAUUACCAUCUAUUCGCACGAAAUCCUCCGGGAACAGAAACCCCCAAGGAGAAGGCGGUGCAGGUACCGAGUCGUAUCUGACUCUCUCUUCUUCUUCUUCUCCUCUCUUCCCGCGAUCUGAGUUCCGACCUCUUAGUUUGUCUUUGAUUCGCCUCCGUGAACUACUACCGUUCUUCCGGAAAAGGAAAGACAUCCCCGGCGCUUCUUUACCGGACCGGAGCUUAUAGCAAGUCACAAGGUUCUUGACGAUUUUGACAACGAAGGAACGUGUUGAAUGGUUCGAUGUACAUGACUACCAUUUUCAUGAUUUUUUACACAUUUAUUAUGAUUUCUCCUUUUUCCAAAAAUAAAAAAAAGUAAAACUUUUUUCGUGAGAUGAGGUCCAAUGUCAAAAGCGUGGCUGCUUUGGGUCGCCUUUGACGCGGGGUCGGGCCUAGACGAGGUUUAUUUCUCAUUUACGUAACGCGGACGUGUGUCAGACUCUGACCAGGUCUAAAAUUUUGUGUGAUUAGUAAAAAUAUGUUUUACCAUGUUUUGACUUCUUUCAUCUAUAAUUUCGGCUACGCGUUCUUAUUAAUGCAUAAUCUAAUCAUAAAAUAUGUUUAUAUCCAUUCAUACUUCCUUUUUUAAAACCUACCCAAAUAAUUCUUGCCAGUGUUCUAUAACCAAGAAGAAGAAGAAGUGUAGGAGUAUCUCCCUCCUCCUCCUCCUUCAACACUCUUACUCUGAUCUCCAAUUUCACUACCUGAAGAUGAAGACUUGUUCUUCUUCACAUGAAACGAAAACGCCUCUUCAAUCGAUUCAUCUCCCUUCGGAUUAGUGCCCGAUCCUCCUUCUUCUUCUUCUUCAUCUGCCCCAGUUCUUCUAGAUCCACCAUCUGGUUUACCUCGUCUCCUAGGUUUAGGAGUUUUCCCGCUACUUUCAAGCUCGAGAAGCUUCUUCCAGUAAAUCACAUCUAAUCCUUCUUCAUCUACGAUAACUGCCUUUAGAUUACCAUCUAUUCGCACGAAAUCCUCCGGGAACAGAAACCCCCAAGGAGAAGGCGGUGCAGGUACCGAGUCGUAUCUGACUCUCUCUUCUUCUUCUUCUCCUCUCUUCCCGCGAUCUGAGUUCCGACCUCUUAGUUUGUCUUUGAUUCGCCUCCGUGAACUACUACCGUUCUUCCGGAAAAGGAAAGACAUCCCCGGCGCUUCUUUACCG
This 1281-nucleotide long non-coding RNA is filed under the name Brassica napus (rape). RNAcentral's name for it is "long non-coding RNA (BNAP_LNC000607)". Lineage: Eukaryota; Viridiplantae; Streptophyta; Magnoliopsida; Brassicales; Brassicaceae. The record is from RNAcentral.